CAGUCUAUCUGGGGGACUAAUGUUUCUCUGGGCGUCGCAGUGCGCGGAUCGGAGUGACCCGUUGCAGCUGUCUCUGGCGGCAGCUCCGAAACUGGCUAUAGCCCAGUGGGUGGCAGGGUGGUUUACACCGUGGCAAAUGCAUUCCUAAUGGGGCAGCCGCUGCCGGCGCGGCCAGAGCGGGAGGAGCUGGUGUAAUGAGAGAAAUUGUUCUCUGCCACCGGGUCUGGCGGAGUUCACCCGUAAAUGAAGCUUUGCUGCUUCUCACACAGGAGGCAUUUAUUUGGUUUCGAUUCCUAGAAGCUGAUGAGGAGGCGGGGCUGACCCAAGGAAAAAGUUGGCCAGGAGUCCUGCGAGGAAUGCGGUGAUGGUUGGCACGCUCGGGAUUCGAGCCCACCUCCUGCCCCGAAGAUCUGCUGAAACUGCGAGUUCCAUCUGACGAGGCGGCAGGAUAAUGGUGAAGUGUGGAAAAUGAACAAAGGGGCCAGCUGUGCAUCUAACUUUGCAGUUGUCAGAGCAAGUUGAACACGGAGAGGAUGGAGUUGACGACACAUGAGAACAGGUUCAAGAGCAGGUCUGAGUCGCAGCUGAGAACGGGGCUGAGGGAGGCGGCAGCAUCACUACAACCAGCAACUGGGAUCCCCCUGCGUAGAUGCUGGUGUAUAUCCACGUAGAUCUCCACAUCGACCCUUGCCUAUGCAGGUAUACGCACAAGUGUAUCGGGGUGUUAACUGGAAUCUCACUAUGCGUCAGAAGUCUAGAUCACCUGCCUGAGAAAGUUGGCUACCAUCCCACAAACGAGCCCCAGAGCUCAUUUCUAGAUUACGGAAAAUCGAGCACAAGGAUAAUGUGUGCAGGGCACCGUGUUCCUGGAACCGUCCAAAUUUUACUCAAUGGAAGGUUCACUCUGACAACGCCAUGUCGCCUAGAAAGCCCUCCCCACUUGCGCUGUCUCGGUGAACUUACCCUCCACGCCUCCUUUGCCGACGGCCCCCUGGAGGGCUGCUUGCUCCCCACCCGUCGGCUAGAGGUCUGGCCCGUUCUUGAUAAGCUCUUGCUCGUGUCUCCUCUCCCCACCGAGUUUGGAAGCUCCCGGGCAGGGACCACUGUGGUCCUGCUGCGCCAUGUUAGGUCCCCUGCGAAGCCCUAUUGGCUAAUCAGAAUAGUGGCCCCACCUGGACAUCAAUAUCUCUGAAUCAAACCCAUUUCCUAGGUCCCUGUUCAUCUUGUCAGUAGGAUAAGACUGUCGUUGGAAUCAUCUUGUCUAGUCAUGGAAGGGCUAACAGCGCUCCUGCUCAUCAGCCUGUGCUCUGGUUUAGCUGGCUUUUUUUCUUUAUUCUUUUUUUUUUUAUUUUUCACAACAAGGCCUUCUCGAGGAAGGGGGCAGGGCAUUGAUGGAUAUUCUAGCGCAAGCUCCUUAUCUUGCGCUAGUCUGAUGGGUACACUUCGAGGUGCACUGACCAAGAACAUGCAGUCUUCACUGUCUUCAUUUGACAGACGCAGGCUUAGAGGUUGAGAGAGAAGAAGGAGCCCGUCCGAGGUUUCACAGCAAGAGACAGAGCUGCAGUUGGUGGCUGGGCCUCCUGACGCGGAGGUCUAGGACAACAACAAAAUAGCAGCGUGGAACUGUCUGUGGCUCUCACACACGGUCACAGAGCACCCGUGGAGUGAGGCCGGCAAUCAGACGUGGCAGGAUUCGGUCUCUGCCCACGAAGAAACGGGAGCUCGGGGAGGACAAAGCCUUGGCCUCAGGCAUCGAGGAGGAGGAUGCUGUCAAAAGAGGGGACACUAGGCUGUCCCUGCCCCAGCUCCGCACCUGUCCCAACAUACCCAGCUUCAGGUGACGUAACGUGGUCCUUCCUGCUCCAGCAAACGGCCAAGAAGUGUGGGGACAGGCUGAAUGUCUUUCCAGGCAUUGUUAAAGAUUGACGGCAGGUGGGAAGAUCCAAGUGCUACGUUCCAGAAAAGUCUCAGCCGUGGCAAUGCUCCAGGUUCUUGGCGGCACCUUCUGUAAUGGAGCUUAAUCUCAGUGAGGUCUCACGCCCGUGUGUUGUAUGAGUGAGCCCUGCUAGUUGUCUCAAACCCCCUUUGGAACACAGCAUGGUGAAGAUAAAUACGGAGCUCACAAUUUAAUCUCAGCACGUGCUAGCAGCAAGCACGGCGUCUGACACGAAGUGCUUUGUAAAUGGUGGCCCUCAAGCAAAUGGUAGGUAUUUUCUUAUUUUCUGAGCCUGAAACAACCAGUGUUUGACAUUUUCCAAUUAAAAGUACGGGCCUGGAUACUUGCCCUUUAAAAAUGUAACACCACCCAUAAAAAUCUCAGUUUUUUCAUUUUCAUUUUUUAAGAACACAAAUUAGGCCAAUUAAAUCAUUUAAAUGACAUUUUUUUUUUCUUUUGAGCAAAGUGAGCCAUGCACAGGAACCAAUAGGUCCCUCACAAAGAUUUGCUUUUUCCCCUGGAGCAGACACCCAUGGAAGGGACAGCCACACAGAAAUCCUUUUGCAGGUUUUACAACCCUGGCUUGGCCCAACGUUCACGGGCCUCGCAUAAACCUCUCGUUGCACGUGGUGAACCCGUGAACACUUUCUUUCUACUCCAGCUUCCCAUCUGGAUGCUAGUGCGCAGCGGGCCGGGGAUGGGGUUUGUGGCCUCGGGGUCUCCUCGGGCCCAGGGAUGCCUAAUGGGGCCUUGUUGGGUACACUGAAGGGAGCUGACCUGGCCGAUGGGCCUAGACAUCCUGUCGUUUUCCAGAGAAGUGAGGAAGCCUGUGGAAUGAAGUCUGGGCUUUCCGGAAGGACCCUAGUCUGAGUGUAGAGAAGAAUGGGGAAAACCUCUGUUUUCUUGAUGUCUGGUUUUUCUGAUUUAAGUGUCCAGCAAAUAUGAUUGCUCUAAGAGUCUGUCUUUGAUGUCCAGUUGGGGUUGCAGCCAAAAGCUGACAAUUCCAUGGGGGAAAAUCCCUAUUCUAAUUCGAACAUUGCUUUGCAAACUCAACUCACAAGUUUUCAAAAAGAUUUCAAGGUCCACUGCCUCUGGGAUGAAGCUGAAACUCCUGGGCUGGCCCUGGGUGGAGCCGGAGAGCCAGGUCCGUGGAAGUGACUGGAACUUGGUCCUGACAUGACUGGUUCCUUCCUAGUUGGGCCUGAUUUCCUCCUUUCUGAGAUGGUGUGAUGAUAGCAUAUAAACCCUUCAGGUCUUUGUGAAGAUUGAAGGAGGUCAUGACUAAAAUGUCAGACCUCCCCAAACUCUGAAGACCUCGCUCUCUCUACCUCCUAUUUUGCCUUUCCUCUUGAUUUGUUAGGUACACUCAGAGGCAGGCGUUGGCAGAGGUAUGUUGAGGUUCUAGUCUUCAACGAGCUCAUACCUGGUGGGAUGCACAGCCAAGGAGACUGAUAAUGAGGUGGCACCGGUGUGUUUAUUGGCUCAGAGAGGGAAGAUGUGGUUCUGGCAGUUUCUGCUAUCCCUCAGGGUCCAGGGAACACCUUCCCCAGCUUCAUGCAUCCAGCCAUCUUUAUAUUCAUUGCUCCUCUUGCCAGGAGUGCCCUUCGUUCGGUGUUGGGGGCGGGGGGAGAGGGUGUGCACAACGGAAGGGAGACACAAUUGGUUCUGUUCCCUGGCCCCGUAAGGGCUCAUGGCCUCCAAGGAGAACUCCAAGGAGAUACAGGCAGCCGCUGGUCUGCUCCCAGGCGACCAUCUGUGAGGGAAGCCCUAAGAGGAAGAACAUGGCUAUUGUUCAAAGAUGGGACAAGGGGCUCUGUAGGUGACAACCUGCAGCUCCAGCUCAGAAGAGACAGGUAGGCAGGAGAGUUAUUCCCAUAUGUGGGUCACGUCACAGUCAAGUUGUCAGAAGGGAAGAAGAUGAACUUGAGUUUGUCUAGAGAAAGAACAUUCAAACAGGAUAGGGCCAUCUGAAGACUCAACCUCUCCCUUGGGUCCUCAAAAGGACCCAGGAGUGGCUAUUUGGGCGUUGGGCUGGCAGGGGUCCUCAGUGGUGGGAGCAGUGGCCGAGAAUCGAAGGACCUCCGUCCACCCAACUCGCGGAGUCUUGGAGGGCAGGCAUGUCAGCCCGGCAGGCCCUGUCUUAUCAAGUACCCCCGUCCCCCAUCUCUCCUUGAGCACAAAAGCCUGUUGUCUGGGUAGCUCAGAGAGUGGGCACAGACCAUCCUCUCUUCUCUGUGUCAUUAAUGUAAUCUAUUUGAUCUUGAGGGUGGUUUUGUUUCAGUUUCUCAAGGGAGUGGGGGGGCGAGGAGGGAAGAAGGCCUUUCUUCGGACUUUGAAGACUAGAAACACUUAAACGUGAGAGUUAAGCCGAGGACGAAACCCAUCUUGGUCCUCUUUUCCUGGUCAGAAAAGAGCUAAUCCUUAAUAUUUCUUGGAGAGUCACCUCUUCUUUGGAAUCAAAGUGUUUUUCUUAUCAUCGUUGCUAACAAUAGUACAAGGUUUUUUACAUUUAUUUAUGCACUUCUUGCAUCUUAUUUAUUUAUUUAUUUGUUUAUUUUCAGAGUGGGGUAGGCAGAGGGAGAGAGAGAAUCUCAAGCAGAUUCCUUGCUGAGUGCAGAGCCCGAUUCGGGACUCGAUCCCACGACCCUGAGAUCAUGACCUGAGCUGGUAUCAAGGGUCGGAUGCUCGACCGACUGAGCCACCUGGGUGCCUCCAUCUUGCCUCUUUUUCAAAAGGCUUUUGACAUACCAGUAAAAUAGGUUUACGGUGAAUAAAGGAAUCAUGACUAAGAGAAAACAAAAAUAGAGAAAAGAUGGUAGCAAAGAAAAGGUAAGAAGACAAAAUUUCCCCUCCAGAGGCCUGGGCAGUAGCUAGAUGUGGCCACGACUCAAUUCUGAGCUCCCUGGUAACCACAGUAAUGAGGGAAACACUCGUAUCCAUGGUUCGUGGUAUCAACAAGAAACAGAGCUGCCUCCAUAACGACAGACUCUGGAUGAUGUAUGAAGAAUAGUAUCAGGAAAAUUCUCUAAAAGAUCUAGCUAUUAGGAGAUAUGACCCUUUGGGAACUCUCAAAUUCAUAAAUAUCUUUAGGGCAGCAUUUCCUGAAUUGUGUUCUGUGAAACGCUGAUUCUGGAGACAUCAAGAGGUGGUUCCUCAGAAUCAGAUGCUGUGGCCAGAUAAACAGAGUUAGUGUUCACAUGUAUGUCCCUCUUGGAGAUUUGCAAAGCAUCCAUUCUCCUGAGGACUUGAGGAGUCGCAGCAGAAGAAACCUGGUAAAUUUGGUUUAAAUAAUUAUUUCCCUAAGUUUUUUGGCCACAGAACCAGUAUUUGGGGGAAUCCCUGAACUCAUGAAGCCGGACUGGUUUUCCUGGACCUUUGUGGGAACUGGAGUCUGCAGAAGCAUUUUCCACAAAGAAAGCCAGGUUCUAUCUCUUUAGGAGAGUCACUGUGUACAUGGGAUUCCAUUGACCUUUCCCCCUUCUGCCCCUCGUGCGCAGACUGAGUUCUUCCCUCAGCAGGGGCAUCUGGCCCCAGCUCCUACUCGUACCUGGUGGGGGCGGCCCAGGGAGCUGAGGCCUUGGGGGGCCUUCAGAGUUAAGCAUCUACAAUACGAACAAAACUUUUGUGGCCAAAAGGGACUCUUCCCGUUGCAUCAUAAUGUCUCUGCCAACAAAUCGCAGUCUCUCUUUUACCAAAGAUUCCCCAGGACCCCCGGGGUGCGGUGAGAGAAAGAAGGGCAGUGGGUGGGAGAAUGCUGUCUUGCCACAUCAGUGCAGCAAGAUUAAUACGUGGUACAUAUCUGUGGGACCUCAGGGAGGGGACUGAAGGCUGGCAGUUUCCGGUAGGCUUCUUGGAGGAAGUGACACUUUAACAAAGAUUUAAGAGAUUGGCAGGAGUUAUAUGCAGGGGAAGGCAUGGGGUCGCAUUUGGGCCUGGCGGGAACAAAUGGUCAGAAUUGGCUUUGGGUAGAACAAAUGGCAGAAGAGGCAGCUGGUAAAGAGCAAGAGACAGCGGGCCUGGCUGACGAGUUUGGGUUCCUUGUCCAGGGAGCCGAGGGGAGGCAUCGAGGACCCCCGGCGGGGAUGGCAGGGCUUUCCUACUAGAAAGAGCCUCGUAGCACUGACGCGCGAUGACCGGAAGGACACAUAGGGACUAGGAGGCUGGGGCCAGGCUCCCGAGCCACCCGCCCCGGGCGGUGGCUGCAGGAGAGGGCUAGAACUCCUGCCUCUACUCUUG
Molecule: long non-coding RNA, 6172 nt
Organism: Zalophus californianus (California sea lion)
Lineage: Eukaryota; Metazoa; Chordata; Mammalia; Carnivora; Otariidae
Exons: 3
Source: RefSeq, a predicted model, not a curated record